CCUACGGGAGGCAGCAGUGGGGGAUAUUGCACAAUGGGGGAAACCCUGAUGCAGCGACGCCGCGUGGAGGAAGAAGGUUUUCGGAUUGUAAACUCCUGUCGUUAGGGACGAUAAUGACGGUACCUAACAAGAAAGCACCGGCUAACUACGUGCCAGCAGCCGCGGUAAAACGUAGGGUGCAAGCGUUGUCCGGAAUUACUGGGUGUAAAGGGAGCGCAGGCGGACCGGCAAGUUGGAAGUGAAAACUAUGGGCUCAACCCAUAAAUUGCUUUCAAAACUGCUGGCCUUGAGUAGUGCAGAGGUAGGUGGAAUUCCCGGUGUAGCGGUGGAAUGCGUAGAUAUCGGGAGGAACACCAGUGGCGAAGGCGACCUACUGGGCACCAACUGACGCUGAGGCUCGAAAGCAUGGGUAGCAAACAGGAUUAGAUACCCCAGUAGU
RNAcentral lists this ribosomal RNA (439 nucleotides) under uncultured Gemmiger sp. RNAcentral's name for it is "bacterial SSU rRNA". It matches the Rfam family "Bacterial small subunit ribosomal RNA", at positions 338 to 794 of the family's 1533-position model. Lineage: Bacteria; Bacillati; Bacillota; Clostridia; Eubacteriales; Oscillospiraceae. The record is from RNAcentral.